This 236-nucleotide unclassified non-coding RNA is filed under the name Glomeraceae sp. Its description in RNAcentral is "partial contains 5.8S ribosomal RNA and internal transcribed spacer 2". The stretch from base 1 to 71 matches the Rfam family "5.8S ribosomal RNA", at positions 84 to 154 of the family's 154-position model. Lineage: Eukaryota; Fungi; Glomeromycota; Glomeromycetes; Glomerales; Glomeraceae. The record is from RNAcentral.
GUGAAUCAUCGAAUCUUUGAACGCAUAUUGCGCUUUUUGGCAUCCCGGGAAGUAUGCCUGUUUGAGGGUCAGUAUUAACAUCAAAUCGGUUUGGUUGUAAAUUGUGACGUUUCCGGAGUUUGGGCUAUCUUAAAUUUUUUGGUUAAGGAGCUUAAAAUUGACCUUUUUUGUGCAUUUUUAGACGUACAUAAUUUUUUUUUAUUUGUUUAUUUUUUUUGUAUGCUUAAAAUUAGUUU